This 206-nucleotide long non-coding RNA is filed under the name Elaeis guineensis (African oil palm). RNAcentral's name for it is "long non-coding RNA (EGUI_LNC074508)". The record is from RNAcentral. Lineage: Eukaryota; Viridiplantae; Streptophyta; Magnoliopsida; Arecales; Arecaceae.
CUUGGGAGGAAUAUCUGAAGGUAGAUAGAUUUCUAAGGGGAGAACCGAUUAUGCCAUCCCAAAUAUUUUCUAGUAGGGACUAGUGGCCGUCAGGGAGAUUUCUCCAUGUGGACAUCAUUGAGGACUUCACGGUCAUCUAGGGGAUUUCUCCAUGUGGACGUUAUUGAGGGCUUCACCGAGCAAAGUCCAAGUUUGCUUGGAUGCAU